RNAcentral lists this ribosomal RNA (253 nucleotides) under uncultured bacterium. RNAcentral's name for it is "partial 16S ribosomal RNA". It matches the Rfam family "Bacterial small subunit ribosomal RNA", at positions 524 to 776 of the family's 1533-position model. The record is from RNAcentral.
UACGUAGGGUGCAAGCGUUGUUCGGAAUUACUGGGCGUAAAGCGCGCGUAGGCGGCUUUGUAAGUCAGAGGUGAAAUCCCGGGGCUCAACUCCGGAACUGCCUUUGAAACUGCAUCGCUUGAAUGUCGGAGAGGUGAGUGGAAUUCCGAGUGUAGAGGUGAAAUUCGUAGAUAUUCGGAAGAACACCAGUGGCGAAGGCGGCUCACUGGACGACUAUUGACGCUGAGGUGCGAAAGCGUGGGGAGCAAACAGG